AUUGAACGCUGGCGGCAGGCCUAACACAUGCAAGUCGAGCGAGAGGCGGACGGGUGAGUAAAGUCUGGGGAACCGCCCGCUGGAGGGGGAUAACAAUAGGAAACGGUAGCUAAUAUCGCAUACCAUCAGAUGUGCCCAGGUGGGAUUAGCUAGUAGGUGGGGUAACGGCUCACCAGGGCGACGAUCCCUAGCUGGUCUGAGAGGAUGACCAGCCACACUGGAACUGAGACACGGUCCAGACUCCUACGGGAGGCAGCAGUGGGGAAUAUUGGACAAUGGGCGCAAGCCUGAUGCAGCCAUGCCGCGUGUGUGAAGAAGGCCUUCGGGUUGUAAAGCACUUUCAGCGGGGAGGCGUUACCCGCAGAAGAAGCACCGGCUAACUACGUGCCAGCAGCCGCGGUAAUAC
RNAcentral lists this ribosomal RNA (406 nucleotides) under uncultured bacterium. RNAcentral describes it as "partial 16S ribosomal RNA". It matches the Rfam family "Bacterial small subunit ribosomal RNA", at positions 29 to 526 of the family's 1533-position model. The record is from RNAcentral.